AGUGGUAUAGCUCAGUUGUUAGAGCAUGAGACUCUGAAUCUCAGGAUCGGUUUUCAAAUAUGUAUCUUUU
Molecule: non-coding RNA, 70 nt
Organism: Podarcis lilfordi (Lilford's wall lizard)
Lineage: Eukaryota; Metazoa; Chordata; Lepidosauria; Squamata; Lacertidae
Source: the annotation of a GenBank genome assembly